ACGUUGCUUCACUUCAGCGAUCGAAACCAUUGAAUCCGCUUCAUCUUGGUGUAAUUCUCUUUGAAAGACGAAGAUUACGCAGUGAUAGAUGGGUCAGAUUCAGUACUCUGAGAAGUACUUCGACGACAUUUACGAGUACAGGCAUGUGGUUCUUCCACCCGAAGUGGCAAAGUUGCUUCCUAAGAAUCGCCUGCUCUCGGAAAAUGAGUGGCGUGCAAUUGGAGUUCAGCAGAGUCGUGGGUGGGUGCACUAUGCUAUUCAUCGGCCUGAGCCGCAUAUCAUGCUAUUCAGGAGGCCUCUGAACUACCAACAGCAGCAGGAGAAUCUCGCUCAACAAAACGUGCUUGCUGCUAAAUGAUUGUUUCAUUUUACUGAUUAUGUGAAAUGCUACUGGCGAGAAAGAAAGCAGUUAAUAUUCA
RNAcentral lists this unclassified non-coding RNA (419 nucleotides) under Hevea brasiliensis (rubber tree). Lineage: Eukaryota; Viridiplantae; Streptophyta; Magnoliopsida; Malpighiales; Euphorbiaceae. The record is from RNAcentral.